GCGAGUGAGCGGGAAAAGCUCAAAUUUAAAAUCUGAUGGUCUUUGGCCAUCCGAGUUGUAAUUUAGAGAAGCGACUUCCGCGCUGGACCGUGCACAAGUCUCCUGGAAUGGAGCGUCAUAGAGGGUGAGAAUCCCGUCUUUGGCACGGAUGCACCAGGGCUUUUGUGAUGCGCUCUCGAAGAGUCGAGUUGUUUGGGAAUGCAGCUCAAAAUGGGUGGUGAACUCCAUCUAAAGCUAAAUAUUGGCGAGAGACCGAUAGCGAACAAGUACCGUGAGGGAAAGAUGAAAAGCACUUUGGAAAGAGAGUGAAACAGUACGUGAAAUUGUUGAAAGGGAAACGCUUGAAGUCAGUCGCGUCGGUCGAGACUCAGCCUUGCCUCGGCUUGGCGUACUUCUCGGCUGACGGGUCAGCAUCAAUUUUGCCCCUCGAAUAAUGGCAAGGGAAAUGUGACACCUUUUAUAGGUGUGUUAUAGUCUCUUGUCGCAUGCGAGGGUCAGGAUUGAGGAACUCAGCACGCGCCUUUGGGUGUCGGGGCCUUGGCCCACGAAACGUGCUUAGGAUGUUGGCGUAAUGGCUUUAAGUAACCCGUCUUGAAA
Molecule: ribosomal RNA, 597 nt
Filed under: Russula lepida
Lineage: Eukaryota; Fungi; Basidiomycota; Agaricomycetes; Russulales; Russulaceae
Description: eukaryotic LSU rRNA
Rfam family: Eukaryotic large subunit ribosomal RNA
Source: RNAcentral